UAUAAUUUUAAUAACUGCACAAGGUGGAAAUUUUUUCAAAAAGCAAAAAUUGUGUGCAGGCAGACAAAGACUUAAGAUCCCAGCACACAUGGGUCAAAUCAUAAGUGAUUUAUAGUAUGAUAUUUUUAUGAUUAUGGGUUUGAAAAAGCAAAUAUUUAAGCAUCUAUACAUGCUGCUUUGCAAAGUCUAUUGUACAUCUAUAUCCUGAACAAGCAGGUGAUAUUGCUUAUCAAUGCAAACUGUUGUGGAUUAAUUUCACCCCUGAGGGAUAUCCAUGUAUAUUUUGGAGCAAAGAUGCAUUUCAGCAUGCUCCUGGCACAAAGGUUGAACUGUGAAAAGUGAUGGGAGAUACUUACUCUCCUGGUUUAGGGUUCAAGCUCAAAUGAAGAAGUAAGCAAAGUGAUUACAGAUUCCAUAAAUAUCUGUGCACAACUGUCUAUUCCAAACAGCUUGGAAUAGCAGGGCUUUUAACAGCAAUGCAAGGGCUGAAAUGCAUAGCUCAUGGCUUACAUGCAAGCUAUGGUGAAAAGAGCUCAAGGGAAUUCAUGAGCCCCAAGGUUCAAAAAACUGAAAGUAUAUAUGUUCUGUCACUUUCUAACUCUCUAAGACCCAAUGAGGCUUUCAUUUGGGGUCGAGGUCUUGUUUAUAUGUUCACAGAUAAUGAAAACAUCUGGUCACCCACGUCAUGCUUCAUGCCAGCUGAUACAGACCAGGAAGAGAAGCAGACGGAAGGUGAUGGCAUCAGCUACCUACAUGCCAGCCACAAUCCAGACUCGCUGGAAGGACACUUCUUUGGUGACUAAUAUCACUCCAGAACAAUGACAUUACACUAUUAGAGACAUUGGCUAUUAGGCCACUGACGGACACUUGUCAUGCUGUAUUUGAGAUGGGGUACCCAGAGCAACAUCAAGUAUGCUAACUCAGAAGGACAAAAUCACACUUGUGUCUGUACAAGACACCAGAUACAUCCCACAUUCCAAAGACUUUGCGAUGGGAUUGAGAUGAAAUAGCUACAAAUUGUCUAGCUACUAAUGUAUACCUUGUAUUUUGUAUAUGAUACUGUCAAAAGAAAUGUAUAUUGUAUGCAUUGUAAAUCCACCACUUGUAUUGUAAGAAAUGCUGUUAUCAACAAGGGUAUAGACCUUGGUAUGAUUCUCCAAAGAAGUAGGAGAUAGAAAACUUUCAUUCAUAGCAUAGAUCUGAUACCUCUGACAUCAAAAAUGAGGUGCUAAGCAGAAAAUGAUGCACAGACAGGUUUAAUGGACAGAUGACACUGAUGUUACUCUCGAGAAAGGAUGAGAGAUCAGGGAAAAGACACUAGGAAAUCUUUAAUCAGGAACCUGAGUUAUUGUAAGAGAUCAUUGACAUCCAGGCAAAGAUUAUGUUCCUGACAUUACAUUAAGGGCUGACUACCAUAGCAGUAGUUGAGUGUUAAUACCAUUGUUAACCAUUACUCCUGAUACCCUGCCUUUGUGGGUACUAUCUUAAUAGGAAAAAUGUCUUGCUCUCCUCCAACAGUCCCAGAAUUCAGACGGCCGCUGGAUUCGGGAUCUAUUGGCUUCCCUUUCAUAUACUGGAAGACGUUCUGGUAUAUGGAAGUAAGACCUCAGGAGCAAAUUGAAGAUUCUAGGUUUGACAAUUUCUGUGGACGCACAGUCAUUGUCUCUCCUAGGUGGAAAAAAUUAUUAUUGCACAAAAACAUGGAGCAAGGGCAAAGUAUAAUCUAAGUUUUACUGUUUUGGAGUAUGGAUUAAAAACAUGACACAAUAGGCACAGAUAAGCUUGUAGAAAAAGCACAUUGAA
Molecule: long non-coding RNA, 1803 nt
Filed under: Monodelphis domestica (gray short-tailed opossum)
Lineage: Eukaryota; Metazoa; Chordata; Mammalia; Didelphimorphia; Didelphidae
Description: lncRNA (ENSMODG00000032902.2)
Source: RNAcentral